This is a long non-coding RNA of Pyrus x bretschneideri (Chinese white pear), 2030 nucleotides long. RefSeq lists it as uncharacterized. The transcript is spliced from 9 exons. Lineage: Eukaryota; Viridiplantae; Streptophyta; Magnoliopsida; Rosales; Rosaceae. The record is from RefSeq and is a predicted model, not a curated record.
AACAUGGUAAUAAUAAUUUAGUUUGAAUCCGCAUACCUCCUACACCUUUUAAAUUUAAAAAAGAGAGAAGAUUUGAACUCCAAAUCGUGAACACACGAUAAAAAAAGUGUGGUCAUUUCCCCUCCCUCCUUUUACAUUUUCUUCCCGCGCAGUUGGCUUCAUUUUUCAAAAUUGGCUCCAUAUUCCCGAGAAAAUUCAUGACACAACUAAAUCCCAAAUCCUAAACCCUAGAAUAGAGACCAGAGAGAUGCGCGAUGCAGAUUCCACCAACUUCACCAAAACAAUCGGCUCAAUCUGUUACGAAGACCUCAAGCCCGUUUCUGAGGACCUCCAAUCCAUCUCCAUCUGCGGCCAUGUCUUCCACGAGCUCUGUCUGCAACAGUGGUUCGAGUACUCUGCAAGGGCGAAGAAGUACACUUGCCCGGUGUGCAAGCAGAAGGAUGCCGGCCGGCUUUAUUUUCAGUCGGUGGGGGACGCGGCGGAUGCGACUCUGAGGCCGAUUAGCAAAUGAGAAGAUCCCCAGGUGCUGCGUCUAGAGGUGAAAAGGUUGGAGGUGGCAGAGCUGGGGAUUCGUUCGGCUUUCGGGCUUCAGGCGAGGGAGCUUAAGGAGCUUAAAGAGGAGCUUUGUCAAUGUACGGAGGUGGCACAGAAAGAAGUUGUGUUUUAAAAUGAAGCAUUGAAACAACAAGCAUACAUGUAGCUGCAGCUUAAGAUGAAAACCGCUGUAGUUUCCAAGUGCUCAUUGGUAUCGGAUCUAGAUCUGGAUGAAGAUGGGGUUUCAAAGCUUUCGACUCUUGGUAAUGGAGCCAACACCAAAGACACGAUAGAUAUUAUACGAAAGUCCUCGGAGAUGAGUAAGAGGAAUUACAAAGACUUAAUAAACAAAUACAAUGGUCUUGCACGAGAAGCUCGUGAGAGCAAAAAACUGGAGCAGGAGGCUAAAAGAUUAAAAAACUGAAGAUAAAGGGUACAAGAACUGGAGACAGUUGUCAAAGUAAAAGAUAAUGAAGUUUUGAGGGCUUUAAAAGUUUCAAAGACAACUUGGGGUGAAGGAAUUAUGCAGAAUGGUGGAUUAUGUAACACUAAUUCAGUGUCUGUCAACAGUUCACCAGAAGUUCAAAGAAAACAUCCUUAUGCUUCCAUCCGUAACUUGGAUAGGACUGAAAGCGAAAAUGAUCUACUGUGUCAUAGGAAAACAGAAAACUCAAACUUCACUGACCAUCUGGAUCGAAGUUGUACUAAAAUGGUACAAGCACCAUUGCUCAUGAUAAAGUAAGAGAUGCCUACUCUUUAAUAGAUAAAGAUGCUCCAAAACUUUCCACAGCUAAGCGUGGACUUUCAAAUCCCUAAUUGAAAGAAUAAAUCUAUGAGGAUGUUGUUAACUAGAAGUGCACUCGAUUGAGGUCAGAUGCAGUUUCUGAUACUAGGAAAGAAACUCCCACUUGUAACGAUACUGCCAGAACUCCUGCUACUGACAUUGCUGAUGUUGUUAUUCUUGAUGAUGUUGAACAAGAUUACCCAUGUUUAACAUUAGAAAGGAGCCUCAUAUCCCACAACCGCUUCCCGGACCAGGGGAUGUUUGAUUUUCUGGGGACUUGCUUGGGUUUGAUGGAACAAACAGGUAUUUAGGUAAAUGGUGCAAGUGGGGUCUGAAUCAAAGUUCUGGUAAUUUGAUUGUUGCAGGAGCUGAUGGAAGAGGUGGUAGAAUCAAAGUUCUGAGAUCACUGAAUCAAUCUACAGUGGUGAGUCUUUGUCAAUCCAAGAUUCCAAGGUGCAGGCAAGUAUACAAGUUGCAACAGCAACUUCAAGUGAAAUAUGAGGGUAUUCGAUUUAGAUCUGGAUAAAGAGGAGGUCCCAUAUCUUGCUACUUUUGGUGAUGGGGCCAACAACAAGGACACAAUAGAAGUUCUAAGCGUUUCCUUGGCGACGUUUAAUUGGUCAGCCAUCUAAAUCUUAUUUUGAACUAUAGUUAAUUUAAUGGAAGGAGAAAACUGUUUGACAUUGGCUAUAUGUAGUGUUUCUAUCUCAAA